AUUGAACGCUGGCGGCAUGCCUUACGCAUGCAAGUCGAACGGCAUCGCGGGAAAGCUUGCUUUCCUGGCGGCGAGUGGCGAACGGGUGAGUAACACAUCGGAACGUACCGGCUAGUGGGGGAUAACCCGUCGAAAGACGGGCUAAUACCGCAUACGCUCUUCGGAGGAAAGCAGGGGACCUUUGGGCCUUGCGCUAGCCGAGCGGCCGAUGUCCGAUUAGCUAGUUGGUGGGGUAAAGGCCUACCAAGGCGACGAUCGGUAGCGGGUCUGAGAGGACGAUCCGCCACACUGGGACUGAGACACGGCCCAGACUCCUACGGGAGGCAGCAGUGGGGAAUCUUGGACAAUGGGGGCAACCCUGAUCCAGCAAUGCCGCGUGGGUGAAGAAGGCCUUCGGGUUGUAAAGCCCUUUCGGCAGGGAAGAAAUCGGCGGGGCGAAUAACCCUGCUGGAUGACGGUACCUGCAGAAGAAGCACCGGCUAACUACGUG
Molecule: ribosomal RNA, 490 nt
Filed under: uncultured bacterium
Lineage: Bacteria
Description: bacterial SSU rRNA
Rfam family: Bacterial small subunit ribosomal RNA
Source: RNAcentral